This 1035-nucleotide ribosomal RNA is filed under the name Tremateia murispora. RNAcentral describes it as "SSU rRNA". It matches the Rfam family "Eukaryotic small subunit ribosomal RNA", at positions 69 to 1107 of the family's 1831-position model. The record is from RNAcentral. Lineage: Eukaryota; Fungi; Ascomycota; Dothideomycetes; Pleosporales; Didymosphaeriaceae.
GCACUAUAUACUGUGAAACUGCGAAUGGCUCAUUAAAUCAGUUAUCGUUUAUUUGAUAGUAACCUACUACAUGGAAUACCUGUGGAAAAUCUAGAGCUAAUACAUGCUAAAACCCCAACUUCGGGAGGGGUGUGUUUAUUAGAUAAAAAGCCAACGCCCUUCGCGGGGCUCCUUGGUGAUUCAUGAUAACUUCUCUGAUCGCAAUAGGCCUCUGCGCCUGCGACGGUUCAUUCAAAUUUCUGCCCUAUCAACUUUCGAUGGUACGGUAGUGGCCUACCAUGGUGUCAACGGGUAACGGGGAAUUAGGGUUCGAUUCCGGAGAGGGAGCCUGAGAAACGGCUACCACAUCCAAGGAAGGCAGCAGGCGCGCAAAUUACACAAUGUCGACUCGACGAUGUAGUGACAAUAAAUACUGAUACAGGGCUCUUUUGGGUCUUGUAAUUGGAAUGAGUACAAUUUAAACCUCUUAACGAGGAACAAUUAGAGGGCAAGUCUGGUGCCAGCAGCCGCGGUAAUUCCAGCUCUAAUAGCGUAUAUUAAAGUUGUUGCAGUUAAAAAGCUCGUAGUUGAACCUUUGGCUUGGCGAGCGCGUCCGCCUCACCGCGUGCACGCGUCCCGCCGAGCCUUUUCUUCUGGAGAACCGCAUGCCCUUCACUGGGUGUGUUGGGGACCAGGACUUUUACUUUGAAAAAAUUAGAGUGUUCAAAGCAGGCCUUUGCUCGAAUACGUUAGCAUGGAAUAAUGAAAUAGGACGUGCGGUCCUAUUUUGUUGGUUUCUAGGACCGCCGUAAUGAUUAAUAGGGACAGUCGGGGGCAUCAGUAUUCAAUUGUCAGAGGUGAAAUUCUUGGAUUUAUUGAAGACUAACUACUGCGAAAGCAUUUGCCAAGGAUGUUUUCAUUAAUCAGUUGAACGAAAGUUGGGGGUUCGAAGACGAUCAGAUACCGUCGUAGUCUCAACCAUAAACUAUGCCAGCUGGGGAUCGGACGGUGUUUCUAUUGUGACCCGUUCGGCACCCUACGAGAAAUCAAAGCGUU